This 505-nucleotide ribosomal RNA is filed under the name uncultured bacterium. RNAcentral's name for it is "partial 16S ribosomal RNA". It matches the Rfam family "Bacterial small subunit ribosomal RNA", at positions 28 to 507 of the family's 1533-position model. The record is from RNAcentral.
GACGAACGCUGGCGGCGUGCCUAAUACAUGCAAGUAGAACGCACAGUUUAUACCGUAGCUUGCUACACCAUAGACUGUGAGUUGCGAACGGGUGAGUAACGCGUAGGUAACCUGCCUGGUAGCGGGGGAUAACUAUUGGAAACGAUAGCUAAUACCGCAUAAUAUUAAUUAUUGCAUGAUAAUUAAUUGAAAGGUGCAAUUGCACCACUACCAGAUGGACCUGCGUUGUAUUAGCUAGUAGGUGAGGUAACGGCUCACCUAGGCGACGAUACAUAGCCGACCUGAGAGGGGGAUCGGCCACACUGGGACUGAGACACGGCCCAGACUCCUACGGGAGGCAGCAGUAGGGAAUCUUCGGCAAUGGACGAAAGUCUGACCGAGCAACGCCGCGUGAGUGAAGAAGGUUUUCGGAUCGUAAAGCUCUGUUGUAAGAGAAGAACGGAUGUGAGAGUGGAAAGUUCACACUGUGACGGUAUCUUACCAGAAAGGGACGGCUAACUACGUG